AUUGAACGCUGGCGGCAUGCUUUACACAUGCAAGUCGAACGGUAACAGGCCGCAAGGUGCUGACGAGUGGCGAACGGGUGAGUAAUGCAUCGGAACGUGCCCAGUCGUGGGGGAUAACUACUCGAAAGAGUAGCUAAUACCGCAUACGAUCUAUGGAUGAAAGCGGGGGACCGUAAGGCCUCGCGCGAUUGGAGCGGCCGAUGUCAGAUUAGGUAGUUGGUGGGGUAAAGGCUCACCAAGCCAACGAUCUGUAGCUGGUCUGAGAGGACGACCAGCCACACUGGGACUGAGACACGGCCCAGACUCCUACGGGAGGCAGCAGUGGGGAAUUUUGGACAAUGGGUGCAAGCCUGAUCCAGCUAUGCCGCGUGCAGGAAGAAGGCCUUCGGGUUGUAAACUGCUUUUGUACGGAACGAAACGGCUCUGGUUAAUACCCGGGGCUAAUGACGGUACCGUAAGAAUAAGCACCGGCUAACUACGUG
This 482-nucleotide ribosomal RNA is filed under the name uncultured bacterium. RNAcentral's name for it is "partial 16S ribosomal RNA". It matches the Rfam family "Bacterial small subunit ribosomal RNA", at positions 30 to 507 of the family's 1533-position model. The record is from RNAcentral.